RNAcentral lists this ribosomal RNA (844 nucleotides) under uncultured bacterium. Its description in RNAcentral is "bacterial SSU rRNA". It matches the Rfam family "Bacterial small subunit ribosomal RNA", at positions 35 to 895 of the family's 1533-position model. The record is from RNAcentral.
ACUGGCGGCGUGCCUACCAUGCAAGUCGAACGGAGAUAUGAUUUCGGUUAUAUCUUAGUGGCGAACGGGUGAGUAACGCGUGAGCAACCUGACUCUUAGAGGGGGAUAACACCCGGAAACGAGUGCUAAUACCGCAUAAGACCACGACAUGGCAUCAUGACGAGGUCAAAGGAGCAAUCCGCUGAGAGAGGGGCUCGCGUCCCAUUAGAUAGAUGGCGGGGUAACGGCCCACCAUGUCAGCGAUGGGUAGCCGAGCUGAGAGGCUGAUCGGCCACACUGGAACUGAGACACGGUCCAGACUCCUACGGGAGGCAGCAGUGGGGAAUAUUGGGCAAUGGGCGCAAGCCUGACCCAGCAACGCCGCGUGAGGGAAGAAGGCUUUCGGGUUGUAAACCUCUGUCCUUGGUGACGAAACAAAUGACGGUAGCCAAGGAGGAAGCCCCGGCUAACUACGUGCCAGCAGCCGCGGUAAUACGUAGGGGGCGAGCGUUGUCCGGAAUUACUGGGCGUAAAGGGUGCGUAGGUGGCCUUUUAAGUUGGAUGUGAAAUACCCGGGCUUAACUUGGGGGGUGCAUCCAAAACUGGAAGGCUAGAGUGCAGGAGAGGAAAGCGGAAUUCCUAGUGUAGCGGUGAAAUGCGUAGAUAUUAGGAGGAACACCAGUGGCGAAGGCGGCUUUCUGGACUGUAACUGACACUGAGGCACGAAAGCGUGGGGAGCAAACAGGAUUAGAUACCCUGGUAGUCCACGCGGUAAACGAUGAAUACUAGGUGUAGGGGGUAUCAACUCCCCUGUGCCGGAGCAAACGCAAUAAGUAUUCCGCCUGGGGAGUACGGCCGCAAGGUG